GGGCUGGUGUGGCUCAACGCCCUGGACCUGCUGGACCCCAGCGGGGGCUGCGCCGGGGGCGCUGCGGACACCGACCCGGAUGAGGCGCUGCGAGAGUUCGGGUGUCCCCCCUGGGAACAGCCCCCCAGUGUGGAUGAACCACUCAGCCCCCCGGUGACCGCGGAUGACCCCGCUGACCCCGAGCUGGCUCAGGCCGUGGCUGCUGCCCGCGGGGGGGG
Long non-coding RNA from Ficedula albicollis (Collared flycatcher), 218 nucleotides. RefSeq lists it as uncharacterized. The transcript is spliced from 3 exons. The record is from RefSeq and is a predicted model, not a curated record. NCBI's taxonomy places the organism in Eukaryota, Metazoa, Chordata, Aves, Passeriformes, Muscicapidae.